CCUUCUUGCUGUGUCAUGCCAUGGUGAUAAUAAAAUAAUACUUUAUAAAAAUGAAUUUGGUAGCCACAGGUAUGAUGGUUUGGGGAAGAUGAUGGAAGGGUGAUUACAAAGUUAUUGCCUUGGCUCUGGCAAUAAGAAUUGAGAACUUCAACUAGGACAAGGGCAAUGGGAAUGGAGAGAUGGGGAUGGACAGAAUGCAUGCUGUAAUGUAGCCUCAGGAUAAAGAAGUUGAAUGAGUUUGGCAUGCAGCAAUGAAGAGGAAGAAGUAAAAGGUGAACCCAACGGUACAAGCCUGGGCAACUACAAGAAUGGUGAUCCCAUCACAGAAACCAGAAAUGCGGGAGGAGUGGGUUUUGGAGUUGAGACAAUGAAAAGAAAUGUUAUAGAUACUAUAGAUAGACUAUUACUAAUAUUUUAGAUAAGUUAAACAAACAAAAAAAGUUCAGUGAAGUUUUGAACACAAAAUCCUGAAGACAAGAGGUUUCAAAUGUUGUAGUGAGUUGUGAAGGAUAAGUUAGAAGGAAAUGCCUACCUAGCCACACUGGAAAGGAAGUUUGGUUUCCAAAUCAUCUCAAUCCAUCGGCUCAAGCAGGAAUAUUUAGAAGAAGGAGCACAAGAAAGAGGACACCCUUAACAGAAAAGUUAUUCAUUUCCAAUUUAAGACUCAUCAAGGGAUAAAAUCUGAAAACUUAUAAAGGAUACUUAUUACAGAAAAAAUUUAAGGGGAAACUGGUGCUGUGGAGAGACCCAUGUGGAAAGGAACUGAGGACUCCCGGCAAAAGUCACCAAGGACCGAGGUUGCUGACAGCUGCAUGUGAACUCGGAAGCAGAUCAAUCCUUGCCCAAGCCCACACUUUGUCUACAGCCUUGGUGAGAGACCCUGAGCCAGGGAUGCACAUCCAAGCUGCACCCAAACUCUUGACCCACAGAAACUGUGAGAUGAUGAAUGUGUUUAAGCCCCCAUAUUGUGGAGUCAUUUAUUACACAGCAAUAGAUGGCUAAGAUGAGCACUAUUUUUAUCCCCUUGUGAGUUCAUGGCUUGGUCUCCCUACCUCCCACUGACUAAAUGUGGCUAAAGCAAAAUCCAAUAACCAGCUGUCUCUGAACAAUAUUAACUGAAUGCCUACUGUUUACUAGCAUGACAGGAAUUCAAAAGAGUUUAUGAGGGAAAUGGCCACAGUGAGGCAGAGGAUUUACAUGCUGGGAAGGCUUCAUCCUGGCAAAUUACCCAGGGCAGACCUUCCCUCCUUCACUGUCUAAAAUAUCCAACUCUUAUAGUUUCAAAUCCCCAUCUCUUAUUGUCUGUCUUAUAGAAACCACCCU
This 1323-nucleotide long non-coding RNA is filed under the name Homo sapiens (human). RNAcentral's name for it is "HSALNT0347146". Lineage: Eukaryota; Metazoa; Chordata; Mammalia; Primates; Hominidae. The record is from RNAcentral.